GACGAACGCUGGCGGCGUGCCUAAUACAUGCAAGUUGAGCGCUGAAGGUUGGUACUUGUACCGACUGGAUGAGCAGCGAACGGGUGAGUAACGCGUGGGGAAUCUGCCUUUGAGCGGGGGACAACAUUUGGAAACGAAUGCUAAUACCGCAUAAAAACUUUAAACACAAGUUUUAAGUUUGAAAGAUGCAAUUGCAUCACUCAAAGAUGAUCCCGCGUUGUAUUAGCUAGUUGGUGAGGUAACGGCUCACCAAGGCGAUGAUACAUAGCCGACCUGAGAGGGUGAUCGGCCACAUUGGGACUGAGACACGGCCCAAACUCCUACGGGAGGCAGCAGUAGGGAAUCUUCGGCAAUGGACGAAAGUCUGACCGAGCAACGCCGCGUGAGUGAAGAAGGUUUUCGGAUCGUAAAACCCUGUUGGUAGAGAAGAACGUUGGUGAGAGUGGAAAGCUCAUCAAGUGACGGUAACUACCCAGAAAGGGACGGCUAACUACGU
This 496-nucleotide ribosomal RNA is filed under the name uncultured bacterium. Its description in RNAcentral is "partial 16S ribosomal RNA". It matches the Rfam family "Bacterial small subunit ribosomal RNA", at positions 28 to 506 of the family's 1533-position model. The record is from RNAcentral.